GACGAACGCUGGCGGCGUGCUUAACACAUGCCAGUCGAACGGAAAGGCCCUGCUUUUGUGGGGUGCUCGAGUGGCGAACGGGUGAGUAACACGUGAGUAACCUGCCCUUGACUUUGGGAUAACUUCAGGAAACUGGGGCUAAUACCGGAUAGGAGCUCCUGCUGCAUGGUGGGGGUUGGAAAGUUUCGGCGGUUGGGGAUGGACUCGCGGCUUAGCAGCUUGUUGGUGGGGUAGUGGCUUACCAAGGCUUUGACGGGUAGCCGGCCUGAGAGGGUGACCGGCAACAUUGGGACUGAGGUACGGCCCAGACUCCUACGGGAGGCAGCAGUGGGGAAUAUUGCACAAUGGGCGGAAGCCUGAUGCAGCAACGCCGCGUGCGGGAUGACGGCCUUCGGGUUGUAAACCGCUUUCGCCUGUGACGAAGCGUGAGUGACGGUAAUGGGUAAAGAAGCACCGGCUAACUACGUG
This 468-nucleotide ribosomal RNA is filed under the name uncultured bacterium. RNAcentral's name for it is "partial 16S ribosomal RNA". It matches the Rfam family "Bacterial small subunit ribosomal RNA", at positions 28 to 507 of the family's 1533-position model. The record is from RNAcentral.